RNAcentral lists this ribosomal RNA (334 nucleotides) under uncultured bacterium. RNAcentral's name for it is "bacterial SSU rRNA". It matches the Rfam family "Bacterial small subunit ribosomal RNA", at positions 8 to 334 of the family's 1533-position model. The record is from RNAcentral.
AGAGUUUGAUUAUGGCUCAGGAUGAACGCUAGCUACAGGCUUAACACAUGCAAGUCGAGGGGCAGCAUGAACUUAGCUUGCUAAGUUUGAUGGCGACCGGCGCACGGGUGAGUAACACGUAUCCAACCUGCCGAUGACUCGGGGAUAGCCUUUCGAAAGAAAGAUUAAUACCCGAUGGCAUAAUUCUUCCGCAUGGUAGAAUUAUUAAAGAAUUUCGGUCAUCGAUGGGGAUGCGUUCCAUUAGGUUGUUGGCGGGGUAACGGCCCACCAAGCCUUCGAUGGAUAGGGGUUCUGAGAGGAAGGUCCCCCACAUUGGAACUGAGACACGGUCCAA